This 64-nucleotide transfer RNA is filed under the name Acinetobacter baumannii 662545-1347. RNAcentral's name for it is "partial tRNA-Phe". It matches the Rfam family "tRNA", at positions 13 to 71 of the family's 71-position model. From Rfam's summary of the family: Transfer RNA (tRNA) molecules are approximately 80 nucleotides in length. Their secondary structure includes four short double-helical elements and three loops (D, anti-codon, and T loops). Further hydrogen bonds mediate the characteristic L-shaped molecular structure. tRNAs have two regions of fundamental functional importance: the anti-codon, which is responsible for specific mRNA codon recognition, and the 3' end, to which the tRNAs corresponding amino acid is attached (by aminoacyl-tRNA synthetases). tRNAs cope with the degeneracy of the genetic code in two manners: having more than one tRNA (with a specific anti-codon) for a particular amino acid; and 'wobble' base-pairing, i.e. permitting non-standard base-pairing at the 3rd anti-codon position. The record is from RNAcentral. Lineage: Bacteria; Pseudomonadati; Pseudomonadota; Gammaproteobacteria; Moraxellales; Moraxellaceae.
CAGUUGGUAGAGCAACGGAUUGAAAAUCCGUGUGUCCCCAGUUCGAUCCUGGGUCUCGCCACCA